This is a long non-coding RNA of Haemorhous mexicanus (house finch), 5103 nucleotides long. RefSeq lists it as uncharacterized. NCBI's taxonomy places the organism in Eukaryota, Metazoa, Chordata, Aves, Passeriformes, Fringillidae. The record is from RefSeq and is a predicted model, not a curated record. The transcript is spliced from 2 exons.
GGGAUCGGGAUCGGGAUCGGGAUCGGGAUCGGGAUCGGGAUCGGGAUCGGGAUCGGGAUCGGGAUCGGGAUCGGGAUCGGGAUCGGGAUCGGGAUCGGGAUCGGGAUCGGGAUCGGGAUCGGCACUCCCACCACGGUCCGUGGUUCGGCCGCGGCGGAGCGGGCCCGCGGGUUCCGCACGGGAGGGUCCGGCUGCGGCCGCAGCGCUGUGCUUUACUCACAGUGCCGCCCCGGUUCAGCCCGAGGUGUGUUACGCACUCUGAGUCAGUUACUCCAGGACGAAAGGUUUGUUUAAUGUUUCUAGCUCUGCUGGUUUUGCAACCGAGAGGGGCUAGAGUUCGUUGUUUUUAAACUUAGAUUUGGAUAUUACAUAACUCGGGGCUGGAGCGCUGAGCACGUGUCUGGGCCUUAAUUCCUUUUGCCCAAGGAUAUGUCAGCCUUGUUGGCAAAGUUGUGGGUGAGGAGUCCAGAAGACGACUGCUCCCUGUAACCAGACAUCGUUUUAUGGUAUAUACCUCCUAAUGUCUUGUUUGUCCAUGCCAAAGGGGCAGAUUUUGCCUUCUAGAUAUACAGGUAAAGCUUACACAUUUUUAAAUAAAACUGAAAGUUAAGCCCUUCGCUUGUGGGCAAAAAGUAACAAUUAUUACCUUACUGUUAUAACUUACUGCAGUAAUGAGUGCAUAUGUUAAUGCUCCACCCUCUGUCAAACAUGGCUUGUGGCUCAAGUUUAAUCUGCUGUUAAAACUCAGGAGUGCCCACAGCCAUUUGUGAAUUGAAACAGUGGAGAAGCUUUUUAGGUGAUCUGGUCUGGAUCAUGAACUGUCCUUCAGCUGAGCUGCUUUUAGAACAGUUUUUAUCCUAAAUACAGUAGAUCAGAAUUCAUCUUUAGGGAUGCCUGUCUCAGCAUAGGCUACUGACAGAGUAGGGUAUGGUAUACACAAACUCUCAACCACAACUUUAUGCUGAACUUUGUAAAAAAAAAAUGAUCCUUGAAGUCAAGGCAGUAGAUAGUAGAGCAGGGCCAGUACACUUGGAAGUUGUAAUGUCCCCAGGACAGGUUGUAGAUGUUGGGUGAUAGAGAUGUUCAUCUUUAUGAGAAUAUAUUUUUAUAUCGUUUCCUUGUAUUGAACUUUUAAUAGAAUGUUAGAAGCAAAAAACUUUUUAUAAGAUACUAUAAUUUACACCAUGUCAGAGGAGCUUACCCCACAUCCAGAAAGGGGGCUUCUUGUGAUUUUUCAAGUAGCUUUGGCUUAGAUUUUAAACCCCUCAGGUCUGUACCAAGAAGAUGUGGUUUGUGAUUACAACCAUCUGUCAGCUCAGUGCAUUCCCUCAGCCUGUGCUGAUAGCCUGCCUAGUGGGGAAAUACCACACCUUUGUUUAAGUCACAGGGAGCCAAGGCCACGCUGAGGAUGCAGUGGUGAAUGCCACUGCCCUGGUUCCCUGCCCACCUUCUUUUCGCACCUUUUGUGCCAUGCCUUUUGUGGCAGGUGACUGCAGAAAUGCAUCUGUGCUGAAGUUAAAAGUUUACAGACCAGAACCUGAGAGUAAAAUGAAAUUUACAGCACUUUGCAUGGGUCUGUCAGGCUCAGCUGAUGGACAUAACCUGAGUGCUCUGGAUUAUAUAUUUAUAACUUCAUUUUCUUGCAAGAUUCACUGCCCAUAACAUCUGCUUUGUAUUUCAUCAAGUCUUGCUGAGAACGUGAAUGACUGUCAUCUCAUUAGGACUUCUACAUACAUUUGCCAUUCCUUUCUCUUCUCUUUUUAUUCUCCAGUUCUCUUUUUUGCUUUGCUGAACCUGUCUCAUCCUUCCCUACCACUGGCACUUUGUCAAGUGUUUUCUUGUUUCUGACUAAACAGUGCUUUCUUUAAAGCCUUGCUCAUUUCCAACUGCCCAUUUCUCCUGGUUAGGUCCCUCUCCAUCUCCACCCUGGCAAUUCCAAUUCCAGCAGGCCCCAGCUGGCAGGGCUCUCUGUGAUUCCCAGUUGUCCUAUGUUAAUUAAACUGUUUGAUUAAACCUUUGGUGUCCCAUAUCCAAGAGCAGGAAAACCAUGUGGUUGUAGGAUGCCUAAGCAGCCUGCUUUGAGAACUGAGACUGGCCCAACUAACAGUCAUUCUUUAUGCAUCUAGGCAUCAAGGACUGAGAAUUUUGAGAAUAUGGGCUGUUGUGAUUAUUUUUUGUCUCACCAGGCCCCAUCAUGCCACAGGUAAUUUUAAAGAAUUCCUCUGGGCCGUGACUUGGGUUCUGGUCUUGCUUUUCACUCCCCACUCAAAGACUGUGGUUAAUCAAAGAAAAGUACACACAUACCUUCUUGGGUGGUAAUUCUCCCUAUAUGACACAUUUGCUGCUGAGAAAAAAAAAAACCUAUCACUGCCAUUUUUUAAUCCUGUAAUUGCUAUGUUUACUGAUGGUGUUGACUGAAAUUCCACUGAAUUUUACUUGCAUGUGGGCCUUCUGAUCCUGGGUCUAGUUCUGCUGUUCUAUCAGACUUGCAGUUUAUGCCAAACCCUGCCCUUGCUGUCUGUUCAUAUGGGCUUUGUCCCAUACCUAUCUUCAUUACCUCCUUCUUUUUCUUGGUCAUCCUCUCCAUUUCCUCAUUACUUCCCUGAUGAGUUUUCUAAGUUGUCUUCUAAAAAAUAAAAAAAAAUUAAAAAAAGAGAGAGAAACAACAUAUCAUCCACUGCCUUAAAACUUGAUGUAAUUUCUGUUUCCCACAUCCUAUGCCUGUCUUGUCUAAGUUGAUUGCAUCUCAUGUCACAGACUGCCUACUCUGCACCAAGCACCACAUUAUAGGAAACUUCUGUCUGAGUUAGUCUUUAUGCACAGCAUAAGUAAAUACGUUUUAUUAAUAACAAUAAUAACAACUAUGCAAAUAAUCCCAUAUAUUUUAAUGAUGGGACUGUAUGUAAUGGCUCAAAAUAAGUAUGGCAAAAAGGAUUCCUUAUGCUACGUGGAAUUAAGAUGAAUAGAAGAUGUCUUUAAGUAGGAAUUGACUAUAUAUGCUUUAAAAAGCCUUAUUUAACCAAUUGUCUCUUUUAAGUUCUUAGAUAAAAGAUUGGUUUAUUAAUACAUUCAUUUCUUCAUUGUGGUAGGAUGACAGUGACUACUUAUCUCUGAGCUUGGUGGCCUCAGGGAUAAUCCAAGCAAGCAUUAUAUUAAACAUUGUGUAGAACAAUGAAGCAGCAAACACACACAAGUGGUUUUGCUCUAAAGUUUGGGUGAAAGCCUAAUAUCUAUAUGCAGUAUUUAUACAGAAUAUUGUCAGCCCCAACCUCAACAGGAGCUCAUCCUGAGCCACAAGGUGGGAUAAAGCAGGAAGGUGUUUAUCUGAAAGGGCAGUAGUGGGAUUCAGUUGUAGGGCUGCAGGAAACAGGAGAUGUCUUCACAGAGUGAAACAAAAGGUACAUUGGGGUCUUGAGCUGUGAGCUUGGAGGGAAGGGAGGAGAGUCAAGGCCAGUGCUCACCAAUGCUCCUGAAGAAAAAGGAAAGAAAUACAAGAAAGAAGGGACUGACAAACCAAGCUGAAACAAUGACUGGAGAAGCGAAAAAUGAGAAAAACUAAGCUGAGACGUGAGCUAGAUAUGCUAAAUGUGACUGAAGGGCACGCAAGAUUGGUUUAAGAUGGAUUGAGAAGCUUUCAGAUAAGAGGAAGCAAAACCAAGUUUGAUGGGGAUUUAGGGUAGAACCCAACAAGAGACAAAGAGAUGUGACUGGAAGAACCUGUCAGGUGACAAGAGGCACUUAUACCAAAGGCACUUUUUUUCCUUCUUUUUUUUUAAAUGAUAAAAGAGACAAGCAUAUCUCUGUGGGUGCUAUGAAUCAGAGCAGACUGAACAACUAAAGCUGUGAAGAAAUUAAGGAGUGAGUGUUGGAAAGAUCAGGAAAUGAAAUGGGGUGAAGUUAUCAGGGCAAGUGAUGGAAUUACAGAAGACAUGUUGCUAAGCUUUUUGUUACUGCCACUUAGAGACUUGUAGACAGAGGAAGCAUGAAGAGAAUAUUUUAUGUCUUUUAUCUCUACAGAAAAUUGUGAGAUAACAAGUAGAGGAAAACAGACAGGAAAGCUUGACAAGGGUUAAGCAGCAGCAAUGAAAAGCUCACUGGGAUUACAAGCAUGCAGAUGAGCUGCAGAAGGAGAAUUGUUUAGUUUUGAGAAGGCAGAAAUGGAGGAGAGUAGGCAUGUGGGAGAGGAAGUUGCCUUGAUCACAGGAUUUCCGUCACUCUGCACUGCAAGAGCAAGCAUGGGUGGAGCAAGCAGUGAAGAAAUGCUUCUGGAAACAGCGAGGGGAGGAAUUGUGACACAGCUCGGGGAGCCGGGGUGGGCAGGAGCUGUGCGGGCCCUGCUCCCAGACUGAGCCUCGGGCUGCUCUGCAAGGUGCUGUGCGGUUCAUGUCCUGGGCGCCUGGAAAAAAACACCCACAAUAAAGAAACUGCGAGAGAUUCACCUUCACAGUGAAGCACGGAUAUUAAAUUCAACAUUUCUUAUGUAAUAAUAAUAAUUCUGAAAUGUUCAUGCAGGCAGAGAAAGCCUUUGAACUGCUAAAUUUAAGCAAGGGCUGUCAGACUUGAGCUCAUUGACUUUGAAAAGAAAUGACUUGCUGAAUUAACUCUGAAGUAAACUAAAAAACUGGUGGACUCUUUCUAUCAGCAUUUCUUAAAAAAUGUAACACAUUUAUCCAUUAUCUCUGUGAAGUUGCAGUGUUUACAAUGUCUUCAAAUGAAUUAUUGGAUAGGGUUAAAGAAACAAAUGCAAUGUGCCCAUGUUGGUGAAGGAAAGCCUGUAUCUGAAUUUGUCUAGUACACUUGGAACCUUUAUUUUUUAAGGUUAUAAAUAACAAUGUCAGUCUUCGGUUUUAAAUAUAUUUCAAGUUGGCUACAAGGAAAUACCUGCAUAUUUUUAUUUCUUGUUUCUAUAUUAUUCACAUUACUCAUGAAAAAGAUUAAGGCAAAAUAAGUUUUUCUUACACUAAAACCAGCUUUUGCUGUAAAUUAGUUAUUUCCUAACCAGGGCACAUAGUGUCAGCACCUCUGGCUCCAGAUCCUAGGGGAUUUUUUGUCUUUCAUCCUUUGCCUUUUUCAGUCUGAUACCAUUAAAAUUUACCGCCUGCA